CAUGUGGGGCAAGCGUUGUUCGGAAUUACUGGGCAUAAAGGGUGCGUAGGCGGCUUGUUAAGUCAGGGGUGAAAGUUUUCGGCCCAACCGGAAAAUGGCCUCUGAUACUGGCGAGCUCGAGUGCGUGAGGGGUGACUGGAGCGAGCAGUGUAGCGGUGAAAUGCGUAGAUAUUGCUCGGAAGGCCAACGGCGAAGGCAGGUCACUGGUACGCAACUGACGCUGAGGCACGAAAGCGUGGGGAGCAAACAGGAUUAGAUACCCUGGUAGUCCACGCCGUAAACGAUGAGCACUAGGUAGGUGCCGAGCUAUUCGGUGCCUGCCGCAGGUAAUUUGAUAAAGUGCUCCGCCUGGGGAGUAUGGUCGCAAGGCUG
RNAcentral lists this ribosomal RNA (372 nucleotides) under uncultured organism. Its description in RNAcentral is "bacterial SSU rRNA". It matches the Rfam family "Bacterial small subunit ribosomal RNA", at positions 526 to 896 of the family's 1533-position model. The record is from RNAcentral.